This 800-nucleotide ribosomal RNA is filed under the name Aneurinibacillus aneurinilyticus. RNAcentral describes it as "bacterial SSU rRNA". It matches the Rfam family "Bacterial small subunit ribosomal RNA", at positions 30 to 823 of the family's 1533-position model. Lineage: Bacteria; Bacillati; Bacillota; Bacilli; Caryophanales; Paenibacillaceae. The record is from RNAcentral.
CGAGUUGGCGGCGUGACUAUACAUGCAAGUCGAGCGGACCAAAGAAGAGCUUGCUCUUCGGCGGUUAGCGGCGGACGGGUGAGUAACACGUAGGCAACCUGCCUGUACGACUGGGAUAACUCCGGGAAACCGGAGCUAAUACCGGAUACGUUUUUCAGACCGCAUGGUCUGAAAGAGAAAGACCUUUGGUCACGUACAGAUGGGCCUGCGGCGCAUUAGCUAGUUGGUGGGGUAACGGCCUACCAAGGCGACGAUGCGUAGCCGACCUGAGAGGGUGAUCGGCCACACUGGGACUGAGACACGGCCCAGACUCCUACGGGAGGCAGCAGUAGGGAAUCUUCCGCAAUGGACGAAAGUCUGACGGAGCAACGCCGCGUGAACGAUGAAGGUUUUCGGAUCGUAAAGUUCUGUUGUUAGGGAAGAACCGCCGGGAUGACCUCCCGGUCUGACGGUACCUAACGAGAAAGCCCCGGCUAACUACGUGCCAGCAGCCGCGGUAAUACGUAGGGGGCAAGCGUUGUCCGGAAUUAUUGGGCGUAAAGCGCGCGCAGGCGGCUUCUUAAGUCAGGUGUGAAAGCCCACGGCUCAACCGUGGAGGGCCACUUGAAACUGGGAGGCUUGAGUGCAGGAGAGGAGAGCGGAAUUCCACGUGUAGCGGUGAAAUGCGUAGAGAUGUGGAGGAACACCCGUGGCGAAGGCGGCUCUCUGGCCUGUAACUGACGCUGAGGCGCGAAAGCGUGGGGAGCGAACAGGAUUAGAUACCCUGGUAGUCCACGCCGUAAACGUUGAGUGCUAGGUGU